RNAcentral lists this ribosomal RNA (2174 nucleotides) under Staphylococcus aureus. Its description in RNAcentral is "partial 23S ribosomal RNA". It matches the Rfam family "Bacterial large subunit ribosomal RNA", at positions 662 to 2838 of the family's 2925-position model. Lineage: Bacteria; Bacillati; Bacillota; Bacilli; Caryophanales; Staphylococcaceae. The record is from RNAcentral.
GGAGCCGUAGCGAAAGCGAGUCUGAAUAGGGCGUUUAGUAUUUGGUCGUAGACCCGAAACCAGGUGAUCUACCCUUGGUCAGGUUGAAGUUCAGGUAACACUGAAUGGAGGACCGAACCGACUUACGUUGAAAAGUGAGCGGAUGAACUGAGGGUAGCGGAGAAAUUCCAAUCGAACCUGGAGAUAGCUGGUUCUCUCCGAAAUAGCUUUAGGGCUAGCCUCAAGUGAUGAUUAUUGGAGGUAGAGCACUGUUUGGACGAGGGGCCCCUCUCGGGUUACCGAAUUCAGACAAACUCCGAAUGCCAAUUAAUUUAACUUGGGAGUCAGAACAUGGGUGAUAAGGUCCGUGUUCGAAAGGGAAACAGCCCAGACCACCAGCUAAGGUCCCAAAAUAUAUGUUAAGUGGAAAAGGAUGUGGCGUUGCCCAGACAACUAGGAUGUUGGCUUAGAAGCAGCCAUCAUUUAAAGAGUGCGUAAUAGCUCACUAGUCGAGUGACACUGCGCCGAAAAUGUACCGGGGCUAAACAUAUUACCGAAGCUGUGGAUUGUCCUUUGGACAAUGGUAGGAGAGCGUUCUAAGGGCGUUGAAGCAUGAUCGUAAGGACAUGUGGAGCGCUUAGAAGUGAGAAUGCCGGUGUGAGUAGCGAAAGACGGGUGAGAAUCCCGUCCACCGAUUGACUAAGGUUUCCAGAGGAAGGCUCGUCCGCUCUGGGUUAGUCGGGUCCUAAGCUGAGGCCGACAGGCGUAGGCGAUGGAUAACAGGUUGAUAUUCCUGUACCACCUAUAAUCGUUUUAAUCGAUGGGGGGACGCAGUAGGAUAGGCGAAGCGUGCGAUUGGAUUGCACGUCUAAGCAGUAAGGCUGAGUAUUAGGCAAAUCCGGUACUCGUUAAGGCUGAGCUGUGAUGGGGAGAAGACAUUGUGUCUUCGAGUCGUUGAUUUCACACUGCCGAGAAAAGCCUCUAGAUAGAAAAUAGGUGCCCGUACCGCAAACCGACACAGGUAGUCAAGAUGAGAAUUCUAAGGUGAGCGAGCGAACUCUCGUUAAGGAACUCGGCAAAAUGACCCCGUAACUUCGGGAGAAGGGGUGCUCUUUAGGGUUAACGCCCAGAAGAGCCGCAGUGAAUAGGCCCAAGCGACUGUUUAUCAAAAACACAGGUCUCUGCUAAACCGUAAGGUGAUGUAUAGGGGCUGACGCCUGCCCGGUGCUGGAAGGUUAAGAGGAGUGGUUAGCUUCUGCGAAGCUACGAAUCGAAGCCCCAGUAAACGGCGGCCGUAACUAUAACGGUCCUAAGGUAGCGAAAUUCCUUGUCGGGUAAGUUCCGACCCGCACGAAAGGCGUAACGAUUUGGGCACUGUCUCAACGAGAGACUCGGUGAAAUCAUAGUACCUGUGAAGAUGCAGGUUACCCGCGACAGGACGGAAAGACCCCGUGGAGCUUUACUGUAGCCUGAUAUUGAAAUUCGGCACAGCUUGUACAGGAUAGGUAGGAGCCUUUGAAACGUGAGCGCUAGCUUACGUGGAGGCGCUGGUGGGAUACUACCCUAGCUGUGUUGGCUUUCUAACCCGCACCACUUAUCGUGGUGGGAGACAGUGUCAGGCGGGCAGUUUGACUGGGGCGGUCGCCUCCUAAAAGGUAACGGAGGCGCUCAAAGGUUCCCUCAGAAUGGUUGGAAAUCAUUCAUAGAGUGUAAAGGCAUAAGGGAGCUUGACUGCGAGACCUACAAGUCGAGCAGGGUCGAAAGACGGACUUAGUGAUCCGGUGGUUCCGCAUGGAAGGGCCAUCGCUCAACGGAUAAAAGCUACCCCGGGGAUAACAGGCUUAUCUCCCCCAAGAGUUCACAUCGACGGGGAGGUUUGGCACCUCGAUGUCGGCUCAUCGCAUCCUGGGGCUGUAGUCGGUCCCAAGGGUUGGGCUGUUCGCCCAUUAAAGCGGUACGCGAGCUGGGUUCAGAACGUCGUGAGACAGUUCGGUCCCUAUCCGUCGUGGGCGUAGGAAAUUUGAGAGGAGCUGUCCUUAGUACGAGAGGACCGGGAUGGACAUACCUCUGGUGUACCAGUUGUCGUGCCAACGGCAUAGCUGGGUAGCUAUGUGUGGACGGGAUAAGUGCUGAAAGCAUCUAAGCAUGAAGCCCCCCUCAAGAUGAGAUUUCCCAACUUCGGUUAUAAGAUCCCU